GAUGAGCGCUAGCGGCAGGCCUAACACAUGCAAGUCGAGGGGUAACAUAGAAAAGCUUGCUUUUCUGAUGACGACCGGCGCACGGGUGCGUAACGCGUAUACAACCUACCUUUUAGCGGGGAAUAGCCCAGGGAAACUUGGAUUAAUGCCCCAUAGUAUAUAGACUUCUCCUGAAGUUUAUAUUAAACAUUUAUGGCUAUUAGAUGGGUAUGCGUCCUAUUAGUUAGUUGGUAAGGUAACGGCUUACCAAGGCAGCGAUAGGUAGGGGUCCUGAGAGGGAGAUCCCCUCACUGGUACUGAGACACGGACCAGACUCCUACGGGAGGCAGCAGUGAGGAAUAUUGGACAAUGGGCGAGAGCCUGAUCCAGCCAUGCCGCGUGCAGGAAGACUGCCCUAUGGGUUGUAAACUGCUUUUACAGAGGAAGAACCACCCCCACGUGUGGGGGUUUGACGGUACUCUGCGAAUAAGGAUCGGCUAACUCCGUG
This 487-nucleotide ribosomal RNA is filed under the name uncultured bacterium. RNAcentral describes it as "bacterial SSU rRNA". It matches the Rfam family "Bacterial small subunit ribosomal RNA", at positions 28 to 507 of the family's 1533-position model. The record is from RNAcentral.